Molecule: ribosomal RNA, 253 nt
Filed under: uncultured bacterium
Lineage: Bacteria
Description: partial 16S ribosomal RNA
Rfam family: Bacterial small subunit ribosomal RNA
Source: RNAcentral
UACGUAGGGUGCAAGCGUUGUCCGGAAUUAUUGGGCGUAAAGAGCUCGUAGGCGGUCUGUUGCGUCGGCUGUGAAAACCCGGGGCUCAACCCCGGGCCUGCAUUCGAUACGGGCAGACUAGAGUUCGGUAGGGGAGUCUGGAAUUCCUGGUGUAGCGGUGAAAUGCGCAGAUAUCAGGAGGAACACCGGUGGCGAAGGCGGGACUCUGGGCCGAUACUGACGCUGAGGAGCGAAAGCGUGGGGAGCGAACAGG